ACGCUCGACACCUACGGGAGGCAGCAGUAGGGAAUCUUCCACAAUGGACGCAAGUCUGAUGGAGCAACGCCGCGUGAGUGAAGAAGGUUUUCGGAUCGUAAAGCUCUGUUGUUGGUGAAGAAGGAUAGAGGUAGUAACUGGCCUUUAUUUGACGGUAAUCAACCAGAAAGUCACGGCUAACUACGUGUCAGCAGCCGCGGUAAUCUGAGCGGGCUGGCAAGGC
RNAcentral lists this ribosomal RNA (223 nucleotides) under uncultured bacterium. Its description in RNAcentral is "partial 16S ribosomal RNA". It matches the Rfam family "Bacterial small subunit ribosomal RNA", at positions 328 to 539 of the family's 1533-position model. The record is from RNAcentral.